RNAcentral lists this ribosomal RNA (402 nucleotides) under uncultured bacterium. RNAcentral describes it as "bacterial SSU rRNA". It matches the Rfam family "Bacterial small subunit ribosomal RNA", at positions 355 to 774 of the family's 1533-position model. The record is from RNAcentral.
UAAGGAAUAUUGGACAAUGGGCGCAAGCCUGAUCCAGCCAUGCCGCGUGAGUGAUGAAGGCCCUAGGGUUGUAAAGCUCUUUUGUGCGGGAAGAUAAUGACGGUACCGCAAGAAUAAGCCCCGGCUAACUUCGUGCCAGCAGCCGCGGUAAUACGAAGGGGGCUAGCGUUGCUCGGAAUCACUGGGCGUAAAGGGUGCGUAGGCGGGUCUUUAAGUCAGGGGUGAAAUCCUGGAGCUCAACUCCAGAACUGCCUUUGAUACUGAGGAUCUUGAGUUCGGGAGAGGUGAGUGGAACCGCGAGUGUAGAGGUGAAAUUCGUAGAUAUUCGCAAGAACACCAGUGGCGAAGGCGGCUCACUGGCCCGAUACUGACGCUGAGGCACGAAAGCGUGGGGAGCAAACA